Molecule: small nucleolar RNA, 131 nt
Organism: Equus asinus (donkey)
Lineage: Eukaryota; Metazoa; Chordata; Mammalia; Perissodactyla; Equidae
Source: Ensembl
GUUGAGGUCUAUCCCAGUGGGGCAUUUUCUGUAGACCUACAUUGUUGGAAAUGCCUCAUAGAGUAAUUACGAGGUUUCCUUUACUCACAGAACUAUGUGUUACAUCUGUGGGAAAGAAGUACAACACAGAG